AUUGAACGCUGGCGGCAGGCCUAACACAUGCAAGUCGAACGAGUGGCGGACGGGUGAGUAAUGUCUGGGAAACUGCCUGAUGGAGGGGGAUAACUACUGGAAACGGUAGCUAAUACCGCAUACCAUCAGAUGUGCCCAGAUGGGAUUAGCUUGUUGGUGGGGUAAAGGAUCACCAAGGCGACGAUCCCUAGCUGGUCUGAGAGGAUGACCAUCAACACUGGAACUGUGGAACGGUCAAGAAACCUACGGGAGACAGCAGUGGGGAAUAUUGCAAAAUGGGAGCAAGCCUAAUGCAGCAAUGCCGAGUGUAUGAAGAAGGCCUUCGGGUUGUAAAGUAAUUUCAGCGGGGAGGCGUUACCCGAAGAAGAAGCACCGGCUAACUCCGUGCCAGCAGCCGCGGUAAUAC
This 406-nucleotide ribosomal RNA is filed under the name uncultured bacterium. Its description in RNAcentral is "partial 16S ribosomal RNA". It matches the Rfam family "Bacterial small subunit ribosomal RNA", at positions 30 to 526 of the family's 1533-position model. The record is from RNAcentral.